Molecule: long non-coding RNA, 1544 nt
Organism: Herpailurus yagouaroundi (jaguarundi)
Lineage: Eukaryota; Metazoa; Chordata; Mammalia; Carnivora; Felidae
Exons: 2
Source: RefSeq, a predicted model, not a curated record
AUUAUUGUGCAAUUUUAUCAUUAUAUUUACCAUAUAUUUACUUCUAUCCUACACACCUACAUAUCUGCAAAAACCUUGUUAUUCUUUGGAUUUUUAAGGCAUUUAAAAUACAGCAACCAGUUCUUUAAUCUCCUGAUACGAAGGAGGCAUCCUUAAAAAUCCCCCUUCCUAUAUCUAGUGAAGACACCAUAGACUAUACGUCAAUCAAAGCGUCUAGGGAGUUACAGGAGAUAACAGCUUCUUCAAAAGUUCUCAAGAAACUGAAAUAAAUGUGGGCAUGACUGACUGGAUAAUUAAGAAGGUUGAAAUAGGUGAUUCUAGCCUUCAGUCAAGGCACACUGACUGAGUCAGAAAGUAACAAAUAAACAUAAAAAUAUCAAGGGGAAAAUCUGCAAGAGACAUUCCUCAUUCUGAGCUAAUAUUCAUGAACCAUGCAAGGAAGAACUGAGCCAACACAGAGAAACACAAAGAUUUUAUAGCUCUAUUUGAAAAGGAAAGUUUUAUGGAAUAAAUUAAGAUAGGCCUACCCUAUGCAUUCCUAUGGGCCAUAUGGAAUUAAGUGAUGGACCAGAGCUUGCCUCCAACUUGUCUAAAUCCCAAAGGAAUAAAUAAUUAAGGGCUAUGAACACAAAGACUAGUGUUUUGGUCGUUAAAUGUAACUUUGCUUGAAGCAGGUUAUGCAUGUAAAGAAUCAAACAGCGAAUUCUAAAAGGCUAAGUCUUCUUCUUCCUUCUUAUAUAUAAAGACCAAGAAUGUAUUAUGACAUCACGAAAACAACUUUGCCACUGCCUACCACUCGGGCUUUGCCAGAACAAAGUCAGUAAGAUGGCGCGGUAAUCAGCCUCCAAGAUGGCUACCAAGGAUUCCUGCCAUCUGGUGUUGGCAACCUUGUGGAAUCUGAUCCCACAUUGUACCAGAGGUGGUCUGUGUGACUAACGGCACCUGGCAGAAGAGAUGGAAUCAUCAGAUGGACAUUUCCAGUUGUUGCAAGCCAGCAGCAUUUCAGAGAGGAGGAGGAAAGUCACAUCUGGCCAGAUCUUCAACGUGUUUCUAAGUCUGUUUGUCCCUGCCUCUCCUGCUGUUUCUUCUGCUUCCAAAAAUAUGAUUAACGUCUAUGAAUUUAUAACACUCUGCAUUGUAAGCAAGGCUGAGGGCUGUCCAUCCCAACGAGGGUGAGGUAUGGAGUUAAUGAGAAGUGAGACUGGGGAACGAACAGAAAGAUGCCAAUGUUAAAGUAAUUGAGCAUGAAUAUCAAACGCUGACUUGGGAACAGUCUUCAUUUGCUGAUAGUCUGAUCAGCUGGUGGGCAGAGGGAACAAGCACAGACCCGCAUUCGCAGCAGGCCCCAGAAAUUCCCUAUCACCCCGGCGAAUGCAUUAUAACCUGGUGACCUUUGUGUCCCGAUCUGCAAUCAAGUGUUUUCUUUUUCCCCUUCUUUCCUUCCCUCCCUCCCUCUUUAUUUCUUUCCUUCCUAUGACAGGUUUCCUCCCUUCUUUCUGAAUUGAUCUCAUCCAUCCCCAAGCCUCAUAAAGAAUUUAAAUUUU